Molecule: ribosomal RNA, 216 nt
Filed under: Enterobacteriaceae bacterium P3
Lineage: Bacteria; Pseudomonadati; Pseudomonadota; Gammaproteobacteria; Enterobacterales; Enterobacteriaceae
Description: partial 16S ribosomal RNA
Rfam family: Bacterial small subunit ribosomal RNA
Source: RNAcentral
CGGUCUGUCAGUCGGAUGUGAAAUCCCCGGGCUCAACCUGGGAACUGCAUUCGAAACUGGCAGGCUAGAGUCUUGUAGAGGGGGGUAGAAUUCCAGGUGUAGCGGUGAAAUGCGUAGAGAUCUGGAGGAAUACCGGUGGCGAAGGCGGCCCCCUGGACAAAGACUGACGCUCAGGUGCGAAAGCGUGGGGAGCAAACAGGAUUAGAUACCCUGGUA